RNAcentral lists this ribosomal RNA (449 nucleotides) under uncultured bacterium. RNAcentral's name for it is "partial 16S ribosomal RNA". It matches the Rfam family "Bacterial small subunit ribosomal RNA", at positions 29 to 523 of the family's 1533-position model. The record is from RNAcentral.
AACGAACGCUGGCGGCAUGCCUAACACAUGCAAGUCGAACGAGAUCUUCGGGUCUAGUGGCGCACGGGUGCGUAACGCGUGGGAAUAUGCCCUUUGGUUCGGAAUAACAGUUGGAAACGACUGCUAAUACCGGAUGAUGACGAAAGUCCAAAGAUUUAUCGCCAGAGGAUGAGCCCGCGUAGGAUUAGCUAGUUGGUGUGGUAAAGGCGCACCAAGGCGACGAUCCUUAGCUGGUCUGAGAGGAUGAUCAGCCAAAUUGGGACUGAGACACGGCCCAGACUCCUACGGGAGGCAGCAGUGGGGAAUAUUGGACAAUGGGCGAAAGCCUGAUCCAGCAAUGCCGCGUGAGUGAUGAAGGCCUUAGGGUUGUAAAGCUCUUUUACCCGGGAUGAUAAUGACAGUACCGGGAGAAUAAGCUCCGGCUAACUCCGUGCCAGCCGCCGCCGUAA